This 697-nucleotide ribosomal RNA is filed under the name nematode environmental sample AGO-2003. RNAcentral describes it as "partial 18S ribosomal RNA". It matches the Rfam family "Eukaryotic small subunit ribosomal RNA", at positions 432 to 1126 of the family's 1831-position model. Lineage: Eukaryota; Metazoa; Nematoda. The record is from RNAcentral.
GCCCUUCGCAAAUUACCCACUCUCAGAACGCGGAGGUAGUGACGAAAAAUAACGAGGUGGCUCUCUAUGAGGUCCAUCAUCGGAAUGGGUACAAUUUAAAUCCUUUAACGAGGAUCUAUUGGAGGGCAAGUCUGGUGCCAGCAGCCGCGGUAAUUCCAGCUCCAAUAGCGUAUACUAAAGUUGUUGCGGUUAAAAAGCUCGUAGUUGGAUCUGCGCCCGGUGAAAGCGGUCGCCCGAUGGGUUGUUACUGCUUCUCCCGGGCUAACCAUUCGGUUUUCCCUUGAUGCUCUUAACUGAGUGCCCUGGGUGACCGGAACGUUUACUUUGAAAAAAUUAGAGUGCUCAAAACAGGCGAUUUGCCAGAAUAUUCGUGCAUGGAAUAAUAAAAGAGGUCCUUGUAGCCUUUUAUUGGUUAUCGCUACGAGGAAAUGAUCGAAGGGGACAGACGGGGGCAUUUGUAUUGCGACGUUAGAGGUGAAAUUCUUGGAUCGUNGCAAGACAAACUACUGCGAAAGCAUUUGCCAAGAAUNUUUUUAUUCAAUCAAGAACGAAAGUNUGAGGGUUCGACAGCGAUCANAUACCCGCUUUAGUUCAANACCGUAAACGAUUCCUUUUGGCGGAUNCCCCCGGCGUUUUUUUUUGACUCCGUGGGGCAGCCNCCGNUAAACCUUUAAGUCNGGGUUCCCGGGGGGAAGNU